Lutra lutra (Eurasian river otter) is the source of this 1237-nucleotide long non-coding RNA. RefSeq lists it as uncharacterized. The record is from RefSeq and is a predicted model, not a curated record. NCBI's taxonomy places the organism in Eukaryota, Metazoa, Chordata, Mammalia, Carnivora, Mustelidae. The transcript has 4 exons.
AACCACGUCCUUUAUUGUCCAGCACGUUUUGUCGUUCACAGUUUUGAACAGAAUCAGGCCAUGCCUUUGAAUCCUUUUUUAUACCGUCCACAUGCGGAGACUCUUCCGCCCUUUGUGCUCUCUUCCUUACUUCUGAUCUGGGGACACAACAGUGGGCCCAGCCCCUGGUUCUGUGCUCUGGACUCCUGUCCCCUGGUAACACAUGAUAUCUUUUGCACCUAAAACUGUCUUUGAGAUUUCCCAGAGGGUCCUUGGAAAAUCACAGAGGAUUCAUUCUUUCAUCUUGUAAAUGGAGAGAAACAAACUCCACUGUCACUUGUGUUAUUCCUAAAUGAACACCUAUCAAAUCUUUUACCCUUGAAAAUCACAAGAUCUGAAGAAACCCUGCAACCUGAAGCCCAGAAACUUGACAUAAGCCUGCAAAGACUCACCACCACAGCCAGCCAUUCAUGGGCCAGAAUUCUCCUUGGACAAGCCGCAUCUGCACCACUAAGGAAGUCCAGCAAAAUGUUGGGUCACCCAUGCUCUUAAACAGGAGGUAGCCAACAUAGUGGGUGACAUCAGCAAGAACAUCAACAUCCAGACUGGAGAGCUUCAGGAAACUCAGAGUAGCACUGAAUAACCAAGAACUUCCUCCACCAACCUUUUGGGAUGUAUUGGACUGCUAAUCUUCAGAAUUCAGUUUCUGGCUCUGUACCUUAAUGUUAAUAUUUCCCUUUUUCAUUUUAAGAAUCCUCUUUUAAGAUACCUGGUCUCCAGAACCCCAAAACAACUGAUCUCUGUCACCACUUCUCACCAGGCAGUUCGUCUGGUUUUAUAGGAGCAUGACUAACAAGACACCUCAUGAGACUUUCUUAGAUCUUAUGUCACCUUCUCGGGGAUUUAUGAUCACCUUCGAGUUGUUCAGAAAGGAACGGUACUUGUCUUGAACAAAUGAGGGGAACUGACAAUGUUGAACUAUUUCUGGGCCUUAUGCUCCCAGGAAGUUGUGACAGUUAAGAAAUCCACCACCAGUUUGUGUCCCCGGAGCAGCUAACCAGAAAGGACCACCCUACCCUUGCAGAUUCCAAGAUCCAUCUCCAUCCUCCCUCAUGAAUCCUGUCAGUCUCAUAGAUGACUCUCUUGAGUGUCUGCUUCUAUAAGCCCUAGGCCUCCUUCCUUUUCUGUCAGUGGUUCCUCAUUAAUAAACAUUGUCCUUAUUGAAAUAUUCUGAAUAAAUCAUAUCCUUGAUUGUCUG